This 443-nucleotide ribosomal RNA is filed under the name uncultured bacterium. Its description in RNAcentral is "partial 16S ribosomal RNA". It matches the Rfam family "Bacterial small subunit ribosomal RNA", at positions 355 to 796 of the family's 1533-position model. The record is from RNAcentral.
UCGAGAAUCUUCGGCAAUGGGCGCAAGCCUGACCGAGCGACGCCGCGUGGGGGACGACGGCCUUCGGGUUGUAAACCCCUGUCGGGGGGGAGCAAGGGGGUAUGAAGAAUACUCCUCGAGCGAUCCCCGGAGGAAGCACGGGCUAAGUUCGUGCCAGCAGCCGCGGUAAGACGAACCGUGCGAACGUUAUUCGGAAUCACUGGGCUUAAAGCGCGUGUAGGCGGGCCGGCACGUCCGGUGCUGAAAGCCCCCGGCUCAACCGGGGAACGGGCACGGAUACGACCGGCCUGGAGGGGGGUAGGGGGACCUGGAACUUCCGGUGGAGCGGUGAAAUGCGUUGAGAUCGGAAGGAACGCCCGUGGCGAAAGCGAGGUCCUGGGCCCUUACUGACGCUGAGACGCGAAAGCCAGGGGAGCGAACGGGAUUAGAUACCCCCGUAGUCC